Non-coding RNA from Drosophila melanogaster (fruit fly), 287 nucleotides. Lineage: Eukaryota; Metazoa; Arthropoda; Insecta; Diptera; Drosophilidae. The record is from Ensembl.
CGGUUGGGGAUCGGGUGAAGGGGUUCGACUGCUGCUCCUCUGCGACACGUCAAUUGUAAUAACAAUAACUGCUCAAGACAGCCCAAAAGUAACACAUCCGCAGGAGGACACAAUGGAGGGCAAUGGACAGGAACGAACAGGACAGGAGGACUCCAGGACUCCAGGACUUCAGGAAUGGGGACAGGAGAUGGAGACAAGCUGGCUUGUUAGCACACGACACGCUGUGGUCACCAAAUGAGCAGCUGACCCAAAAGGGUUACGGGCUACACUGAGAGAAAAUAACCAUU